UAAGGGCGAGUCGUAGCGAGAUGAGAGUCUGACGGAGCACGCCGCGUGAGUGAUGAAGGCUUUCGGGUCGUAAAACUCUGUUGUUAGGGAAGAACAAGUGCUAGUUGAAUAAGCUGGCACCUUGACGGUACCUAACCAGAAAGCCACGGCUAACUACGUGCCAGCAGCCGCGGUAAUACGUAGGUGGCAAGCGUUAUCCGGAAUUAUUGGGCGUAAAGCGCGCGCAGGUGGUUUCUUAAGUCUGAUGUGAAAGCCCACGGCUCAACCGUGGAGGGUCAUUGGAAACUGGGAGACUUGAGUGCAGAAGAGGAAAGUGGAAUUCCAUGUGUAGCGGUGAAAUGCGUAGAGAUAUGGAGGAACACCAGUGGCGAAGGCGACUUUCUGGUCUGUAACUGACACUGAGGCGCGAAAGCGUGGGGAGCAAACAGGAUUAGAUACCCCGGUAGUCA
This 449-nucleotide ribosomal RNA is filed under the name Bacillus sp. (in: firmicutes). RNAcentral describes it as "bacterial SSU rRNA". It matches the Rfam family "Bacterial small subunit ribosomal RNA", at positions 352 to 796 of the family's 1533-position model. Lineage: Bacteria; Bacillati; Bacillota; Bacilli; Caryophanales; Bacillaceae. The record is from RNAcentral.